GUGAGGAAUAUUGCGCAAUGGAGGCAACUCUGACGCAGCCAUGCCGCGUGCAGGAAGAAGGCGCUACGCGUUGUAAACUGCUUUUAACCGGGAAGAAACCCCAGGACGUGUCCUGGGUUGACGGUACCGGAGGAAUAAGCACCGGCUAACUUCGUGCCAGCAGCCGCGGUAAUACGAAGGGUGCAAGCGUUAUCCGGAGUCAUUGGGUUUAAAGGGUGCGUAGGCGGAGCGUUAAGUCAGUGGUGAAAUCCUGCAGCUUAACUGUAGACUUGCCAUUGAUACUGGCGCUCUUGAGUGCGCUUGAAGUGGGCGGAAUGUGCCGUGUAGCGGUGAAAUGCUUAGAUAUGGCACAGAACACCAAUUGCGAAGGCAGCUCACUAAGGCGAUACUGACGCUGAGGCACGAAAGCGUGGGGAUCGAACAGGAUUAGAUACCCCAGUAGUCC
Molecule: ribosomal RNA, 445 nt
Filed under: uncultured bacterium
Lineage: Bacteria
Description: partial 16S ribosomal RNA
Rfam family: Bacterial small subunit ribosomal RNA
Source: RNAcentral